AUUGAACGCUGGCGGCAGGCCUAACACAUGCAAGUCGAACGGUAACAGGAAGAAGCUUGCUUCUUUGCUGACGAGUGGCGGACGGGUGAGUAAUGUCUGGGAAACUGCCUGAUGGAGGGGGAUAACUACUGGAAACGGUAGCUAAUACCGCAUAACGUCGCAAGACCAAAAAGGGGGACCUCCGGGCCCCUUGCCAUCGGAUGUGCCCAGAUGGGAUUAGCUAGAAGGUGGGGUAACGGCUCACCUAGGCGACGAUCCCUAGCUGGUCUGUGAGGAUGACAAGCCACACUGGAACUGAGACACGGUCCAGACUCCUACGGGGGGCAGCAGUGGGGAAUAUUGCACAAUGGGCGCAAGUCUGAUGCAGCCAUGCCGCGUGUAUGAAGAAGGCCUUCGGGUUGUAAAGUACUUUCAGCGGGGAGGAAGGGAGUAAAGUUAAUACCUUUGCUCAUUGGCGUUACCCGCAGAAGAAGCACCGGCUAACUCCGUG
RNAcentral lists this ribosomal RNA (490 nucleotides) under uncultured bacterium. Its description in RNAcentral is "partial 16S ribosomal RNA". It matches the Rfam family "Bacterial small subunit ribosomal RNA", at positions 30 to 507 of the family's 1533-position model. The record is from RNAcentral.